GAGGAAGCGGCACUUAGCUGGGCAGAGGUGGGCACGAGAGGGCUCACUUUUCACAGCACGAGCGACAAAACCCCACUCAUGCGUUAAGAAAAACGGCGUGGAUGUCACAGCCUCUCUCUCUCUCACACAGCGUGGGAAGUAUCCCCGCUUUUGGAUAACACAACAACACACGGCCGGCGAAAACGAAAGGCGUUUAAGACAACAGGAAAAAACAAACUUGGCAGUGACAGCCGUACCUGGAGUUUUCCUGUGCCCGGUUAUAACUGCCUCACCACUCACUGGAUGCAGCCAGGUUGUACUCUUGCCUUCUUCGCUGUUGAGAGAGACAGAGGUAGAGAGAGAAAAGCAUUCAUUAAUCCAGCGGUGACUUUUGUUCGAAUUAGAAACGAGCAGAAUGACUUGAAGCGUUUUCCUUUGGAAGGGAUAUUUACUUAGCGAAGAAGACGCGUCCAUCCCGAGUAACACCAUAACUCCAGGAAGACGGGAGGCAAGAAAUCCACUCGGGUUGUAGCUCCGCCGCCAUGUCUGGCAGUACUGUAUGACAAUCGCGCGGCUCCGCUCUCCCAGGCAGCGCGUACACGGAAACCUUGGCAACGGCGGGUGGCUGAGAGGCGGGCAGGGUGCAGAGCGGGCAGUGACAGAUACCAAGGAAACAGUCUGAAAAAUGUGACACAGCAAGAUUCCCUGGAUGGCUGCCAUGUCCCUGCAGAAGUUUAGAUUUUGCUGUUUAUUGUUCCCUCUGUGGACUUCUGCAUACAUCCCAACUGAAGAUGCCUCUUCAAGAUAAAUCCCAGCAAAAGAUGAAAAAGGGGAGAAGAACACAGCAGGCGGCUGGCAGCCAUCUUUCCCAGAAAUUGUGUGAACCCACUCUCAUCUGUGAAGAGAGCAGGAUGCCAAUGGCAGACCAGCCAGUUCUGGUAUUCUCUAGGGAAUGCCAGUCGAUUUGCAUGGUGCUGGGUCGUGAGCACAAGUCCCAUUAAGAAGCAGAUAUUGGUCCUGCAGCUCAGUUGAUGCCCUUCUGCAGUCCUGUCCUGUCCUCCUCUCCUCGUGUAAUAGCCUACCUCCUGGUAUCUCUACCACAGUCUUGAGAUUGGGCUUGGAGACACAGCAAAUGUUUUAGCAGCUGCACAUAAGGACAUGCCAUCCUGGUUGAGUUGGACUACCUGUGGAUCCUGAAUGGACUGCUUGUACCAUCUCAUGCUACCAGUAGAAGAGAACACUGGUCGUUGGCAACUUUUCCUUGAGGGUGGGCAAUUGUUUUAUUGUGUGCCACAGCGAACCUGAACUGUACUUGUUGUCAACUGUACGUAGAUUCAAACACAAUUUUCCUGUCUACAGUGUCCAAACAUGUUUAGGUGCAGCACCAGGUAAAGUUGCCAUGUUCAGUGUGACUCUAAAUUUAGGAUACUCGUGGUUUAAUUGUUAGAAUUUUUAAAUGUAAAUUCUGUUUUGUACGGUGCAUCGUGCCACUGCCCGUCUCCUGCUGGAAGUCACCAAAAUGCAGCAUCCAGGACAAACAUCACUGUGCCACAACAAUCUGUCACUUCUUAAAGUCAUCAAGUGAACAAUGUGGUUGCACUAAAAUGGAACCAACUGUAAAAUGCUUUUUAUAGCCCCUAGAGUCUGUGCAGAACUUCAUGACAAAGGUACAUCUUGAAAGCCUUUUACACUCAAUAACCAGACAUACAAGCUUAUGUGGAAAAGAAAUCAUGAGUGUUUUUUAUAUAAACACUCAGAACAGGCUGCAUGCUCUGUAAGAAUUAUAUCUCUUAUACUGUGAUUUUCUUAUGAAAGUGUCCUA
This is a long non-coding RNA of Archocentrus centrarchus (flier cichlid), 1801 nucleotides long. RefSeq lists it as uncharacterized. The transcript has 4 exons. Lineage: Eukaryota; Metazoa; Chordata; Actinopteri; Cichliformes; Cichlidae. The record is from RefSeq and is a predicted model, not a curated record.